Molecule: long non-coding RNA, 1203 nt
Organism: Gasterosteus aculeatus aculeatus (three-spined stickleback)
Lineage: Eukaryota; Metazoa; Chordata; Actinopteri; Perciformes; Gasterosteidae
Source: Ensembl
AUUCUGUCGCUCUCUUCUCUCUCCAGCAGACGUCCGGUGUGGUAGGGCAGCCGCCUGUUGAAUCCGGUUUUCCUUUGGGUUAAAUGCCCUGGACAACACCCACCAUUUACACUUUACCCUCAUGCACAUCCUACACUACUGAUAAUACUGACAUUCGCAUCCCAUCUGGAAUGGUUAUGGUUUUUCGUUGUUUUGUGUGUUAAAUAAAGAAUGUUACACCUCGGAAACCAGUGUAACUCCAAUCUUGUCAUGGCCCAAAGAGCCAGGUCGUGACAAAUGGGGGCUCGUCCAAUUCUGGUCAGUGAUUUGUUUGAUGAUCAAGUGUGUAGAUUUCGUGUGACGCGUGUUUUUGUGUGGAUCAGCUGUGAGCGGUUGGUGCGCGUUUGGUUUGGUGGUGAUCGCCAGGUUGUCUCUGUUGCGGAAAGUUUGGGAGUCAUGCUGGAUUUUGAAGGUUUAGCUCUGGUUCGUUGUAGCUCUGGUUCGUUGUUCUUUGGUCCGUUGUAGCUCUGGUUCGUUGUAGUUCGUUGGUCCGUUGUAGCUCUGGUUCGUUGUAGUUCGUUGGUCCGUUGUAGCUCUGGUUCGUUGUAGUUCGUUGGUCCGUUGUAGUUCGUUGGUCCGUUGUAGCUCUGGUCCGUUGUAGUUCGUUGGUCCGUUGUAGUUCUGGUUGUGGAAGCGUUUAGAGGUUUUUGUUUUUUUUCUCUUUCGCGAAGUCGAUUGCGCGUGGUCCAAAGAGAAAGUACGUGUUGCCGCCCUGAUGCGCUGUGUUUGGAGUUUCCCUGUCAGGUUAUAGUGGCGUCUCCCCUUUGGGUUGAGUCAGUUUUUUUUUGUAGUGUUGUGGCAACGUGGUUAGUGUCAGCUGUCUAUGGACGGUUGUCUCGGGAGCACGUCCGUGGGAUCCUGCGUUGUGGCCUACUUGUGGGUGACUUCUCAGACCUGCUGGUUUCCAGUGCGUAAUUACCCACCGCAAGCUGCAUGAAGACUAGGUACCUGGUUGCAGAGCUGGGGCGUAGUUUCAAUGUGGAGGGUGCUAAGCAGACGUCCGGUGUGGUAGGGCAGCCGCCUGUUGAAUCCGGUUUUCCUUUGGGUUAAAUGCCCUGGACAACACCCACCAUUUACACUUUACCCUCAUGCACAUCCUACACUACUGAUAAUACUGACAUUCGCAUCCCAUCUGGAAUGGUUAUGGUUUUUCGUUGUUUUGUG